GAACGAACGCUGGCGGCGCGUCUUAAGCAUGCAAGUCGAACGGCAAGAGGUAGCAAUACCUCCUAGAGUGGCGGACUGGUGAGUAACACGUGGGUGACAUACCCUUCAGAUGGGGAUAGCUAUUAGAAAUAGUAGAUAAUACCGAAUACGAGCACAGGGGUUAGAGAUCUGUGAGGAAAGGAGCUAAGGCUCCGCUGAAGGAAUGGCCUGCGGCCCAUUAGCUAGUUGGUGAGGUAAGAGCCCACCAAGGCGAUGAUGGGUAUCCGGCCUUAGAGGGUGAACGGACACAUUGGGACUGAGAUACGGCCCAGACCCCUACGGGAGGCAGCAGCUAAGAAUAUUCCGCAAUGGACGAAAGUCUGACGGAGCGACGCCGCGUGGAUGAAGAAGGCCGGAAGGUUGUAAAAAUCCUUUUGAAACUGAAGAAUAAGCGUUGUAGGGAAUGACAGCGUGGUGACAGUAGGUUUUGAAUAAGCAACGGCUAAUUACGUGCCAGCCGCAGC
Molecule: ribosomal RNA, 503 nt
Filed under: uncultured bacterium
Lineage: Bacteria
Description: bacterial SSU rRNA
Rfam family: Bacterial small subunit ribosomal RNA
Source: RNAcentral